This 255-nucleotide long non-coding RNA is filed under the name Homo sapiens (human). RNAcentral's name for it is "non-protein coding lnc-LRRC37A3-1:1". Lineage: Eukaryota; Metazoa; Chordata; Mammalia; Primates; Hominidae. The record is from RNAcentral.
CAGGCAGCCCCCGCACAGGGGCAUAAGAGCUUCCGGGUGGUACACUGGAGGCAGAUGGGUAUCUGCAGGCAGGCCCUGAAGUUUCUGAUGCAGAUCUGGGCCCAGCCCCUCAUCAACCUGCAGAUGGCAAACGCAUCUCUGUACGAGCAUGUGGAGCGGAUGCACCUCAUCGGGAGGAGCUGGGAGCAGCUAAAGCUCCUGGGGGAUUACCUGGGCCCGUGCUGGAGCGGUGCCCUGAAGGAGCUCAGGAGGAGG